Cyprinus carpio carpio is the source of this 436-nucleotide long non-coding RNA. NCBI's taxonomy places the organism in Eukaryota, Metazoa, Chordata, Actinopteri, Cypriniformes, Cyprinidae. The record is from Ensembl.
CACUAAUACACUUCUAAUAUCCAAAUCCGUUAAAGGAUUUUUAGGCUGCAUUAAUUAGUCUGUUUCUCUCUUAUUCCGAGGUCACCGUAGCCACCAGAUCCAGUCUGUAUCCAAGUCAGAGGGUCACUGCAGUCACCCGGAUCCAGUACGUAUCCAGCCCAGAUGGUGGAUCAGCACCUAGAAAGGACCUCUACAGCCCUGAAAGACAGCGGAGACCAGGACUAGAGCCCCAGAGACAGAUCCCCUGUAAAGACCUUGUCUCAGACGACCACCGGGACAAGACCACAGGAAACAGAUGAUUCUUCUGCACAAUCUGACUUUGCUGCAGCCUGGAAUUGAACUGCUGGUUUCGUCUGGUCAGAGGAGAACUGGCCCCCCGACUGAGCCUGGUUUCUCCCAAGGUUUUUUCUCCAUUCUGUCACCGAUGGAGUUUUGG